Hypomesus transpacificus is the source of this 472-nucleotide long non-coding RNA. RefSeq lists it as uncharacterized. The record is from RefSeq and is a predicted model, not a curated record. The transcript has 4 exons. NCBI's taxonomy places the organism in Eukaryota, Metazoa, Chordata, Actinopteri, Osmeriformes, Osmeridae.
UCUAUCUCCGACACAGACGUCGGGGGUCGUAGACUGUGGCUGUUACUCAUGGUGCUCACAUCUGGAGAGACGUUAACACAGACAUUUGAAGACGGGCAUGGCUCACAGGCAUGGGGCCCAACUAGGUCUCGCUGACUGCCAAACACUCCAUAUACCCUGCCUGGAACAAACACAACUACAUCAUGAUGCUCAGUCUUGCCAGUCAGUGUGAACGAAGAUGGUUCAUGCUUCAUGUGAUAACGUCACUUAAAGAUGUGCAGCUGUUCAACCGAUGAGAGCAACACCAUGCUGACAGCUCUGUCAUUACCUGGCGCACCAAGAAUAAUGUAAUUUAUGCUGUUAAUCAUACAAUCAUGUGAACAUAAAUGUCUAGUAAUCUCUCCUCUGAAGAAUAUUUUAUUUGUAUUGUUUAUAAAUAUUAUAUGUUGGUCUUGUUUCUCAUUUAGUCAGAAUAGUCCUAUUGCUUUGUCUU